Molecule: long non-coding RNA, 475 nt
Filed under: Homo sapiens (human)
Lineage: Eukaryota; Metazoa; Chordata; Mammalia; Primates; Hominidae
Description: non-protein coding PCBP1-AS1:224
Source: RNAcentral
AGUCACACCGGCAUCCAUGGCGAGCGGCGGGCGGCGUUCGGGGGAGUUGGGCUCGUUACGUCACAAGAUUGCGCCAACCCUUACAUGGUCCUUAAAAAAAAAACCUUCUGACACUGCAGUAGUGAAAAUGAAGCGCACGAUGGGCGGAAGCUAGGAAGACAAACAUAAAGAUGAAGUGCUUAAUUCAAGGUCACACAAUGUCGGGGAUGGACCUCCAGAUUUCCUUACUGGUGAGACGUGGUCUUGUAACACAGUGGUUAAGAAUGUGACUUUGGAGCCAGCCUGCUAGGGGCUGAAUUCUGACUCAGCCAUUUACUAACUGUGUGACCUUAGGGAGGAGGACCUGGUUGAUAGAAGAAUUUAUCUCGUAGUCUUAACAUCCACUGUAAUUCCAAACUUUGAGGACGAUAGAGAUCAGUGGGCUUUGACUGCCCAGCAUGCAGUCUCCAUUCUUAGGUAAGAACACUUUGAUUUU